Molecule: unclassified non-coding RNA, 581 nt
Filed under: Hevea brasiliensis (rubber tree)
Lineage: Eukaryota; Viridiplantae; Streptophyta; Magnoliopsida; Malpighiales; Euphorbiaceae
Source: RNAcentral
GUUAAACUAGAGCCUCAAUCUCUAAAAAGUUUACCCUCCCUCUCAUGCCCUCUAAACGCUAAACAUUAUACCGUUUUAGCGUAUUGUUUCUUGUCUCUCUUCUCUAUGUCCUUUCUGUCGAUAUUUUCUUAGCUAGACUUGCAGGGAAGGAAAAGUAGAUGUGCAGUGCAUAAACCCUAAUCUUUCUCGGCAGUGGCCCGAUCAACUCAUUUUCUCUCUCAAUUCAAGUAACCUACAAUAUGACUGAAGACGUCGAGAUGAAGGAACUUCCUGCUCCCUCCAACUCCGCCACCUCCUCUUCCCCUUCCACACUCAACCAUUUGAAGGAGAUCGCUUCACUGAUUGAGACUGGUGCCUAUGCCCGGGAGGUGCGGCGGAUAGUGCGGGCUGUGCGCCUGACGAUGGCCUUAAGGCGAAAGCUCAAGGCUCAAGUGCUCUGUGCCUUCCUCAAUUUCGCUCUUAGUCCGGGAUCUGAGCCUCAUAAUCGGCUAGCCGCCCAUCUUCCCAAGGAGGAUGAGCAUGAAAUGGAGUUUGAUACUGCAACAUCUGUUUCUCAAACUCCUGUGAAACACCCCUUACCA